RNAcentral lists this ribosomal RNA (327 nucleotides) under uncultured eukaryote. RNAcentral describes it as "partial 18S ribosomal RNA". It matches the Rfam family "Eukaryotic small subunit ribosomal RNA", at positions 1470 to 1796 of the family's 1831-position model. The record is from RNAcentral.
CCCUUAGAUGUUCUGGGCCGCACGCGCGCUACACUGAUGCAUUCAACGAGCCUAUCCUUGACCGACAGGUCCGGGUAAUCUUUGAAUCUGCAUCGUGACGGGGAUAGAUUAUUGCAAUUAUUAAUCUUCAACGAGGAAUGCCUAGUAAACGCAAGUCAUCAGCUUGCAUUGAUUACGUCCCUGCCCUUUGUACACACCGCCCGUCGCUCCUACCGAUUGAAUGAUCCGAUGAAUAUCAUGGACUGAGAGUGUUAGAGUUUUCGGACUUCUACACUUCUCGGGAAGUGAAGUGAAUCUUAUCAUUUAGAGGAAGGAGAAGUCGUAACA